GGCACGUAACUCAGUGGAUAGAGUAUCAGAUUCCGAUUCUGAAAGUCGUUGGUUCGAAUCCAACUGUGCUCGU
This 73-nucleotide transfer RNA is filed under the name Corallina officinalis. RNAcentral describes it as "tRNA-Arg". It matches the Rfam family "tRNA". Rfam says of the family: Transfer RNA (tRNA) molecules are approximately 80 nucleotides in length. Their secondary structure includes four short double-helical elements and three loops (D, anti-codon, and T loops). Further hydrogen bonds mediate the characteristic L-shaped molecular structure. tRNAs have two regions of fundamental functional importance: the anti-codon, which is responsible for specific mRNA codon recognition, and the 3' end, to which the tRNAs corresponding amino acid is attached (by aminoacyl-tRNA synthetases). tRNAs cope with the degeneracy of the genetic code in two manners: having more than one tRNA (with a specific anti-codon) for a particular amino acid; and 'wobble' base-pairing, i.e. permitting non-standard base-pairing at the 3rd anti-codon position. The record is from RNAcentral. Lineage: Eukaryota; Rhodophyta; Florideophyceae; Corallinales; Corallinaceae.